UCCUCGAUCUGCUGCGGGCAGAUGUAGUGGAUGUGGCUGUCCAUGCCGCCCGCGGUGAGAAUGCGCCCCUCGCCGGCGAUCACCUCGGUCCCCGGCCCGACGACGAUGUCGACUCCGGGCUGGGUGUCGGGGUUGCCCGCCUUGCCGAUGGCGGCGAUGCGCCCGUCCUUGAGGCCGACAUCGGCCUUGUAGAUGCCGGUAUGGUCGAGGAUCAGCGCGUUGGUGAUCAGCGUGUCGACCGCGCCCUCGGCGCGCGAGCGCUGGCUCUGGCCCAUGCCAUCGCGGA
RNAcentral lists this small RNA (286 nucleotides) under Limimaricola variabilis. RNAcentral's name for it is "5' ureB small RNA". It matches the Rfam family "5' ureB small RNA". Lineage: Bacteria; Pseudomonadati; Pseudomonadota; Alphaproteobacteria; Rhodobacterales; Paracoccaceae. The record is from RNAcentral.